RNAcentral lists this ribosomal RNA (468 nucleotides) under uncultured bacterium. RNAcentral's name for it is "partial 16S ribosomal RNA". It matches the Rfam family "Bacterial small subunit ribosomal RNA", at positions 28 to 507 of the family's 1533-position model. The record is from RNAcentral.
GACGAACGCUGGCGGCGUGCUUAACACAUGCAAGUCGAACGGACAGGCCCUGCUUUUGUGGGUUGCUCGUGUGGCGAACGGGUGUGUAAAACGUGAGUAUCCCGUACUUGUCUUUGGGGUAACUUCUGGAAACAGGGGCUCAUAUCGCAUAGGAGCUCUUGCAGCACGGUGGGCGUUGGAAAGUUUCGGCGGUUGGGGAUGUACUCGCAGGUUAUCAGCUUGUUGGUGGGGUAGUGGCUUACCAAGGCUUUGACGGGUAGCCGGCCUGAGAGGGUGACCGGCCACAUUGGGACUGAGAUACGGCGCAGACGCCUACGUGAGGCAGCAGUGGGGAAUAUUGCGCAAUGGGCGGAAGCCUGAUGCAGCAGCGCCGCGUGCGGGAUGACGGCCUUCGGGUUAUAAACCACUUUCGCCUGUGACGAAGCGUGAGUGACGGUAAUGAGUAAAGAAGCACCGGCUAACUACGUG